Molecule: long non-coding RNA, 358 nt
Filed under: Solanum tuberosum (potato)
Lineage: Eukaryota; Viridiplantae; Streptophyta; Magnoliopsida; Solanales; Solanaceae
Description: long non-coding RNA (STUB_LNC009173)
Source: RNAcentral
GGGCCUGUUUGAAAGGACACCCUGGUAAUUGGAUUUGGUGUAAUUGGUGUAAUUACACUGUCUUGUCCUGUUUGGAAGGACAGGUAAUUACUUGGUCAGCAGGUAAUUGGUGUAAUUGGCAAGGGGUAAUUACACUCUACAAUUCACAGGCAGAGGCUGUGAAUUGCUGGUAAUUACAUGGUGUAAUUACCACCUGAUUACUUUUUAAUUUCUUUUUUUUAUUUCUAUUUUAAUUUUUUUUUACUUCUAUUAUUUUAAGUUCUUUUUUUAACUUUAUUAUUCUAAAAAUUUGUAAAAGUUUAUUUUUUAUUUUUUAUUAUUAGAUUUCAUUUUCUUCUUAUUCUCAACCUUACUUUAC